RNAcentral lists this ribosomal RNA (488 nucleotides) under uncultured bacterium. RNAcentral describes it as "bacterial SSU rRNA". It matches the Rfam family "Bacterial small subunit ribosomal RNA", at positions 501 to 987 of the family's 1533-position model. The record is from RNAcentral.
CUACGUGCCAGCAGCCGCGGUAAUACGUAGGGCGCGAGCGUUGUCCGGAAUUAUUGGGCGUAAAGAGCUUGUAGGCGGUUUGUCGCGUCUGCUGUGAAAGGCCGGGGCUUAACCCCGUGUAUUGCAGUGGGUACGGGCAGACUAGAGUGCAGUAGGGGAGACUGGAACUCCUGGUGUAGCGGUGGAAUGCGCAGAUAUCAGGAAGAACACCGAUGGCGAAGGCAGGUCUCUGGGCUGUAACUGACGCUGAGAAGCGAAAGCAUGGGGAGCGAACAGGAUUAGAUACCCUGGUAGUCCACGCCGUAAACGAUGUCAAUUAGCUGUUGGGCAACUUGAUUGCUUAGUAGCGUAGCUAACGCGUGAAAUUGACCGCCUGGGGAGUACGGUCGCAAGAUUAAAACUCAAAGGAAUUGACGGGGACCCGCACAAGCGGUGGAUGAUGUGGAUUAAUUCGAUGCAACGCGAAGAACCUUACCUGGUCUUGACAU